UACAGAGGUGGCAAGCGUUGUUCGGAAUUACUGGGCGUAAAGGGCGCGUAGGCGGCCUACUAAGUCAGACGUGAAAUCCCCCGGCUUAACCUGGGAACUGCGUCUGAUACUGGAAGGCUUGAGGAUGGGAGAGGGAUGUAGAAUUCCAGGUGUAGCGGUGAAAUGCGUAGAUAUCUGGAGGAAUACCGGUGGCGAAGGCGGCAUCCUGGACCAUUACUGACGCUGAGGCGCGAAAGCGUGGGGAGCAAACGGG
RNAcentral lists this ribosomal RNA (253 nucleotides) under uncultured bacterium. RNAcentral describes it as "partial 16S ribosomal RNA". It matches the Rfam family "Bacterial small subunit ribosomal RNA", at positions 524 to 776 of the family's 1533-position model. The record is from RNAcentral.